CCUCAGUAUUGUCAAAGCAUUUUUUUGUGUGUAAUAAAUUUGCAUAAACAUUUCACCCCAAAUAUAAUGAAACAUAGGAUAAGAAAGACCUAAAUUAUAUUAAAAAAAAUACUAAAAGACUUCUUGAUUGAUUUGCAGAGGCAUAGCAAAAUUCCUUCAUAUAGUGGCCUCAUGAAUGAGAUGAUAAUAUGCAAGUAAAGCAUAAUGAUUGGCAUAUUAAAUGCAAGAUCUUUGUCACCAUCUGCUUCCCGAUUGUGUCAGCAAGUUGGGAUUUUUUUCAUGGAAGUGUGAGAAUACACCAUGGCCUCGAAGUAUCAAAAUGUCAAUUAUACAUCACAUUUUAAAGUUGGAAGCCUAAAUCACAAUUGUCCCUGAAUUCUGCUUGAAACACUGACAAAUUAUUACCUAUCCGUCACAUUUAGCCUUACUGUACAGUAGCACAGUUAUUGUGCUGGAAAAUAAAACAGAGCAGGAACACUAUCAAGGCCAGGUUUACAAUUUUGUGAUGAAUACUUAAAAAAAAAUUAUUCAGAAGGAGACAGGGAGAGAAAUAAGAAUUCAAAACAAAUUGAAUAGUUGUGGAACAGCCCUAUCAAAUACUUGUUAUUUCAAGCUCAAGUACUUAGAAAACAGUUCUGUAUUUCUGGUAUUUUUCAUUGCAAAUAAUCCUCAUUCACAAGGAAGACAGUAUUCCUUUUUCUGUAUUUUCACUUGCACUGACAGAAGAAAAUUGUAUCCUGGUUAGUGCAAUGAAUCAGCAUGAAGUUCAGAAGGAGAAAACCAAUGUGAAACCUGACCAAAAUGAAGGAACUCUUCCACUAAUACCACAGGUCCUGCUUUACACCCUCAGUGGCCUUAUAUCAAAGUUGGUGGGAGAUGUUUUAAUGUCCCACGUAGGAUGACAUACAAACACCAUUAGCUGCCAGAACAAGCAACCAAGAGGUGAAAGCACACAAAAAGGCUGCUAAUUGUGAUUCUGAAAUAUAAAUACAAGACUCUUCCAAAACUGAAAAGUCCACUAAUAUCUCAAGGCAUUAUUUCUGCUAGGGGGAGGAAACAGAAGUAGGUAUUGUGUAAAGUGAUUCUUCAUUUACUGAGGACAAUGGUAACAUCACCAAAAAAUGCAAUAGCCUUUUGAUUUGCUUCUAGACCAAUUACUAUAACUGUGGAAAGGAGAUUUCUAGAUUUUAAAAAAGUGGGAUAAAGAACAUAAUCAUGUUCAGAAACCUAACAUGAACUAAUUUGGAAGAAGACUGUAAAGAGGUUAAAUGAAAAAAGUGACCUUCCAAACUUGUACUUUAAUGGACUUUUCAUAAAGCAUUUCUUCUAUCUAAUAAUUUCUGAUUAUAGUAGUAUUUAUACAUUAUAAGAUACACAAUCCACUAUUUAAACAGACUGCUUAUACAAUAUUUGCCAAUGAAUAAUAAAUUUUUGCUGUAAUAAGAUAGCAAAUUUAAAGAUGCAAAAUUUAUUGCAAAUGGGACUGAUUCCAAAAUUAGGAGAUUGUAAGUAGCAUGAUUUAUAUUACAUGUUUGGGGUCAAUCUCUGUGCCUGUGAAACAGGGUUUUUAAUACUUAAUAAAUAUAAAAUACAUUGAUUCUAAUUAAGAAUUAAUUUUUAGUACGGCUUUGUAUUUUAAGCAUGUGUGUACAUACAUGUUAAAUCAAAGUGUUUGGGAAAUUUCAGUCUGGGGCUUCUGAUUUAAGCAGUUGUCCAUGAGCAGUUGUGUAUAGGCAUGUCUUCACUACUAAAAAAAAUUCUUUUUCCUUCUUCAAAAGAUCAUGUAAAUGAUCUGUGAAGCAGAGGUUUAUAUAUUUCUGGUGGAGCAGCAUGUUCUGCCAGGUAGUUAGCAGUCUCUCCAUUCAUCAGCAAAUGGUGAAUCAUAAGCUGUUGGAAAGCAGAAAAGAAUAAAAAAA
This 1916-nucleotide long non-coding RNA is filed under the name Taeniopygia guttata (zebra finch). RNAcentral's name for it is "lncRNA (ENSTGUG00000021571.1)". The record is from RNAcentral. Lineage: Eukaryota; Metazoa; Chordata; Aves; Passeriformes; Estrildidae.